UAGCGGCAGGCUUAACACAUGCAAGUCGAGGGGUAUUGGUUUUCGGACCAAGAGACCGGCGCACGGGUGCGUAACGCGUAUGCAAUCUACCUUUUACAGAGGGAUAGCCCAGAGAAAUUUGGAUUAAUACCUCAUAGUAUAUAGACCUGGCAUCAGGAUUAUAUUAAAGUCACAACGGUAAAAGAUGAGCAUGCGUCCCAUUAGCUAGUUGGUAAGGUAACGGCUUACCAAGGCUACGAUGGGUAGGGGUCCUGAGAGGGAGAUCCCCCACACUGGUACUGAGACACGGACCAGACUCCUACGGGAGGCAGCAGUGAGGAAUAUUGGACAAUGGGCGCAAGCCUGAUCCAGCCAUGCCGCGUGCAGGAUGACGGUCCUAUGGAUUGUAAACUGCUUUUAUACGAGAAGAAACACUGAUUCGUGAAUCAGCUUGACGGUAUCGUAAGAAUAAGGAUCGGCUAACUCCGUGCCAGCAGCCGCGGUAAUACGGAGGAUCCAAGCGUUAUCCGGAAUCAUUGGGUUUAAAGGGUCCGUAGGCGGUUUAGUAAGUCAGUGGUGAAAGCCCAUCGCUCAACGGUGGAACGGCCAUUGAUACUGCUGAACUUGAAUUAUUAGGAAGUAACUAGAAUAUGUAGUGUAGCGGUGAAAUGCUUAGAGAUUACAUGGAAUACCAAUUGCGAAGGCAGGUUACUACUAAUGG
RNAcentral lists this ribosomal RNA (700 nucleotides) under uncultured soil bacterium. RNAcentral's name for it is "bacterial SSU rRNA". It matches the Rfam family "Bacterial small subunit ribosomal RNA", at positions 37 to 738 of the family's 1533-position model. The record is from RNAcentral.